AUUAGAAUCAUGCCAGACAGCUAUGGAA
RNAcentral lists this small RNA (28 nucleotides) under Bombyx mori (domestic silkworm). Its description in RNAcentral is "ovarian small RNA-12677". The record is from RNAcentral. Lineage: Eukaryota; Metazoa; Arthropoda; Insecta; Lepidoptera; Bombycidae.